This 452-nucleotide ribosomal RNA is filed under the name uncultured organism. Its description in RNAcentral is "partial 16S ribosomal RNA". It matches the Rfam family "Bacterial small subunit ribosomal RNA", at positions 329 to 797 of the family's 1533-position model. The record is from RNAcentral.
ACGUACACUCCUACGGGAGGCAGCAGUGGGGAAUAUUGGACAAUGGGCGCAAGCCUGAUCCAGCCAUGCCGCGUGAGUGAUGAAGGCCCUAGGGUUGUAAAGCUCUUUCACCGGUGAAGAUAAUGACGGUAACCGGAGAAGAAGCCCCGGCUAACUUCGUGCCAGCAGCCGCGGUAAUACGAAGGGGGCUAGCGUUGUUCGGAUUUACUGGGCGUAAAGCGCACGUAGGCGGACUAUUAAGUCAGGGGUGAAAUCCCGGGGCUCAACCCCGGAACUGCCUUUGAUACUGGUAGUCUUGAGUUCGAGGGAGGUGAGUGGAAUUCCGAGUGUAGAGGUGAAAUUCGUAGAUAUUCGGAGGAACACCAGUGGCGAAGGCGGCUCACUGGCUCGAUACUGACGCUGAGGUGCGAAAGCGUGGGGAGCAAACAGGAUUAGAAACCCCGGUAGUCCCA